CAGCAGUAGGGAUCUUCCGCAAUGGACGAAAGUCUGACGGAGCAACGCCGCGUGAGUGAUGAAGGUUUUCGGAUCGUAAAACUCUGUUAUUAGGGAAGAACAAAUGCGUAAGUAACUGUGCGCAUCUUGACGGUACCUAAUCAGAAAGCCACGGCUAACUACGUGCCAGCAGCCGCGGUAAUACGUAGGUGGCAAGCGUUAUCCGGAAUUAUUGGGCGUAAAGCGCGCGUAGGCGGUUUCUUAAGUCUGAUGUGAAAGCCCACGGCUCAACCGUGGAGGGUCAUUGGAAACUGGGAAACUUGAGUACAGAAGAGGAAAGUGGAAUUCCAUGUGUAGCGGUGAAAUGCGCAGAGAUAUGGAGGAACACCAGUGGCGAAGGCGACUUUCUGGUCUGUAACUGACGCUGAUGUGCGAAAGCGUGGGGAUCAAACAGGAUUAGAUACCCUGGUAGUCCACGCCGUAAACGAUGAGUGCUAAGUGUUAGGGGGUUUCCGCCCCUUAGUGCUGCAGCUAACGCAUUAAGCACUCCGCCUGGGGAGUACGACCGCAAGGUUGAAACUCAAAGGAAUUGACGGGGCCCG
RNAcentral lists this ribosomal RNA (581 nucleotides) under Staphylococcus sp. Its description in RNAcentral is "bacterial SSU rRNA". It matches the Rfam family "Bacterial small subunit ribosomal RNA", at positions 349 to 922 of the family's 1533-position model. The record is from RNAcentral. Lineage: Bacteria; Bacillati; Bacillota; Bacilli; Caryophanales; Staphylococcaceae.